Molecule: ribosomal RNA, 292 nt
Filed under: uncultured bacterium
Lineage: Bacteria
Description: partial 16S ribosomal RNA
Source: RNAcentral
GGACUACCGGGGUUUCUAAUCCUGUUUGCUCCCCACGCUUUCGCGUCUCAGCGUCAGUCACUGUCCAGAAGGCCGCCUUCGCCACCGGUGUUCCGCUUGAUAUCUACGAAUUUCACCUCUACACCAAGCAUUCCACCUUCCUCUCCAGGACUCUAGCUGCGCAGUUUCGAGUGCACUUCCACGGUUGAGCCGUGGGAUUUCACGCCCGACUUGCGCUGCCGCCUACACGCGCUUUACGCCCAGUAAUUCCGAACAACGUUCGCACCCUCUGUCUUACCGCGGCUGCUGGCAC